RNAcentral lists this ribosomal RNA (492 nucleotides) under uncultured bacterium. RNAcentral describes it as "partial 16S ribosomal RNA". It matches the Rfam family "Bacterial small subunit ribosomal RNA", at positions 29 to 507 of the family's 1533-position model. The record is from RNAcentral.
AGUGAACGCUGGCGGUAGGCCUAACACAUGCAAGUCGAACGGCAGCACCGUAAGAGCUUGCUCUUACGGGUGGCGAGUGGCGGACGGGUGAGGAAUACAUCGGAAUCUACUUUUUCGUGGGGGAUAACGUAGGGAAACUUACGCUAAUACCGCAUACGACCUACGGGUGAAAGCAGGGGAUCUUCGGACCUUGCGCGAUUGAAUGAGCCGAUGUCGGAUUAGCUAGUUGGCGGGGUAAAGGCCCACCAAGGCGACGAUCCGUAGCUGGUCUGAGAGGAUGAUCAGCCACACUGUAACUGAGACACCGUCCCGACUACGACGGGAGGCAGCAGUGGCGAAUAUUGGACAAGGGGCGCAAGCCUGAUCCAGCCAUACCGCGUGGAUGAAGAAGGCCUUCGGGUUGUUAAGCCGAUUUGUUGAGAGAGAAAAGCAACAGGUUAUAACCCCGCGUUUAUGACGGUACCCAAAGAAUAAUGAACGUCUAACUUCGUG